Molecule: ribosomal RNA, 569 nt
Filed under: uncultured Gammaproteobacteria bacterium
Lineage: Bacteria; Pseudomonadati; Pseudomonadota; Gammaproteobacteria
Description: bacterial SSU rRNA
Rfam family: Bacterial small subunit ribosomal RNA
Source: RNAcentral
UCGAUUUGGAGUUUGUUGCCCUGAGUGAUGGGCUCCGAAGCUAACGCGAUAAAUCGACCGCCUGGGGAGUACGGCCGCAAGGUUAAAACUCAAAUGAAUUGACGGGGGCCCGCACAAGCGGUGGAGCAUGUGGUUUAAUUCGAUGCAACGCGAAGAGCCUUACCUGGUCUUGACAUCCACAGAAUCUUGCAGAGAUGCGAGAGUGCCUUCGGGAACUGUGAGACAGGUGCUGCAUGGCUGUCGUCAGCUCGUGUUGUGAAAUGUUGGGUUAAGUCCCGCAACGAGCGCAACCCUUAUCCUUUGUUGCCAUUGGUUCGGCCGGGAACUCAAAGGAGACUGCCGUUGAUAAAGCGGAGGAAGGUGGGGACGACGUCAAGUCAUCAUGGCCCUUACGACCAGGGCUACACACGUGCUACAAUGGCGUAUACAAAGGGAGGCGACCUCGCGAGAGCAAGCGGACCUCAUAAAGUACGUCUAAGUCCGGAUUGGAGUCUGCAACUCGACUCCAUGAAGUCGGAAUCGCUAGUAAUCGUGAAUCAGAAUGUCACGGUGAAUACGUUCCCGGGCCU